This is a non-coding RNA of Acanthosepion pharaonis, 114 nucleotides long. The record is from the annotation of a GenBank genome assembly. Lineage: Eukaryota; Metazoa; Mollusca; Cephalopoda; Sepiida; Sepiidae.
UUACGGUCACAUCACGUUGACGCAUCGGUUCCCGUACGAUCACCGAAAUUAAGCAACGUCGAUCCUGGUCAGUACCUAGAUGAGUAACCGCUUAGGAAUACCAGGUGUUGUAAG